AUGUCGUGGGAGCGUAUGAUUAAGCCCAAGAGAGCAGGAGGGAUUGGUUUUCAUGAUAUGCAGAUUUUCAACCAAGCCCUCCUCGCAAGACAAAGUUGGCGCCUGCUUCAGAACCCAAAUAGCCUUUGUGCUAGAGUCCUUAAGUCAAAAUAUUAUCCUAAAGGAGAUCUCCUUGAUACUGUUUUUGCUUCGGACGCAUCCCAAGCAUGGAAGGGCAUUGAACAUGGCCUUGAGCUUCUAAAAAAGGGGCUGAUAUGGAGAGUUGGAAACGGGAAGAAAAUUCAGAUUCAAAGAGACCAAUGGGUCCCAAGGAAAAGUGGGCUGAAAGUAACAGAGUUUAAGAGACGAUCAAGGUUAAGGUGGGUAAACCAGCUAAUGAAAUCAGAUAGCAAAGAAUGGGACGAGACACUCAUCCACCAACUGUUCCAUACCUAUGAUGCCGAAGAAAUCUGCAAGAUUAAAAUUCCUAGAUAUGAAGCUGAGGAUUGUGUUGCAUGGCAUGAAGAAAAGUCUGGCUUGUUCACUGUCCGAAGCGCAUACAGGUUGGGUGCAAGUCCCAAACAACAUGGCGACGCGCUGGCGUCGAGCUCGUCUCAUGAUGCGGAGAAUAGAAGCAUAUGGGACCUCAUAUGGAAAACGAAAGUACCGGAAAAGGUCAGGAUUUUUGUGUGGCGAGUGGCAACUAAAACACUCCCCACCAAAGAGAAUAAGUGGAAAAGAACACUUGAGCUUGACAACAUCUGUAGUAUAUGUGGGAGGGAGCCGGAGGAUGAGUUCCAUGCAACAGUUAAUUGCACAAAGGCCCGUGCACUCCGAGAGAAAAUGAGAUCGAACUGGUGCUUACCGGAUGAGGAUCAUUUCAGAAAAACCGGUGUUGACUGGCUCCAGAAUCUACUAGGGAACUGCGAUGCAGAAUCAAGGAGGAAAAUAUUACUCCUGUUGUGGCGUGCGUGGUGGCUGCGCGAUGAUUGCAUCCAUGCAGAUGGCAACGCUAUGAUCAGCCAUUCAGCGGGCUUCUUGGUCAAAUAUGUUGAGGAAUUGAAUCUGAUAGGAACUGAACCCACUGCAGACGAGGUGGACGGUCACCUGGUCGGCGUUCAGAAACCUGGCUCUGUUGAGGCGCGCCGCGCGGAGAUUAGAAAUGGCAAGAAGCCCCAGGAGCAGUGCUUGUGGAACGGCCAAAAUAAUAGUACCCGUGAGGAAUUGGAAGCAGACCAAUCAGCAAGGACGGCAAUGAAGCCCAUACAUACAAAGAGGAGCAAAUGA
Molecule: ribosomal RNA, 1266 nt
Filed under: Triticum aestivum (bread wheat)
Lineage: Eukaryota; Viridiplantae; Streptophyta; Magnoliopsida; Poales; Poaceae
Description: partial small subunit ribosomal RNA
Source: RNAcentral